GUCGUGACUGCGUGCCUUUUGAAGAAUGAGCCUGCGAGUUUGCGGUGUGUUGCGAGGUUAACCCGUGUGGGGAAGCCGUAGCGAAAGCGAGUCCGAAUAGGGCGAUUUAGUAGCGCGCUCAAGACCCGAAGCGGAGUGAUCUAGCCAUGGGCAGGUUGAAGCGGAGGUAAGACUUCGUGGAGGACCGAACCCACCAGGUUGAAAACCUGGGGGGGAUGACCUGUGGUUAGGGGGGGUGAAAGGCCAAUCAAACUCCGUGAUAGCUGGUUCUCCCCCCCGAAAUGCAUUUAGGUGCAGCGUCGUGUGUUUCUUGCCGGAGGUAGAGCACUGGAUAGGCGAUGGCCCUACCGGGUUACUGACCUUAGCCAAACUCCGAAUGCCGGUAAGUGAGAGCGCGGCAGUGAGACUGUGGGGGGGAUAAGCUCCAUGGUCGAGAGGGAAACAGCCCAGAGCAUCGACUAAGGCCCCCCCUAAGCGUACGCUAAGUGGGAAAGGAUGUGGAGUCGCAGAGACAACCAGGAGGUUGGCUUAGAAGCAGCCACCCUUGAAAGAGUGCGUAAUAGCUCACUGGUCAAGUGAUUCCGCGCCGACAAUGUAGCGGGGCUCAAGCGUACCGCCGAAGUCGUGUCAUUCC
RNAcentral lists this ribosomal RNA (634 nucleotides) under Streptomyces sp. SID7803. RNAcentral describes it as "partial 23S ribosomal RNA". It matches the Rfam family "Bacterial large subunit ribosomal RNA", at positions 590 to 1211 of the family's 2925-position model. Lineage: Bacteria; Bacillati; Actinomycetota; Actinomycetes; Kitasatosporales; Streptomycetaceae. The record is from RNAcentral.